UGAUCCUAAAAUGACAACAACAAAUCAUAAUUAAUCCAAUCACAUGUAUGACAAAAUCAUUUGAUUUUGUUUGUGGUUUUAUUCAUUUUUUACGGCCCAUAUUUUGAUUCAAAUUUUUGGACCAGAAAAUUGGGACAAUAUCCGCGAUAUGGUUCCACAACUUCCAUUAUAUCCAUUAGUUCAACAAGAAUUGAAUUCAAUUGCUCGAAGAAUUAUUGUCGUGGAAGAAAUACCGACCGCAAUACAACAUUGGUAUCGAUUGUAUGGUAAUAGUCCACGUUAUAUAACCUUUCGUAUUACUUCAUCUUAUGUCAAAAUUUCUUAAUUCUUGUGGAGGGAAAAAAUGAAUUCACAUGAAAGAAAAACGCAAAAAACCUUUCUUCUUGAAUCAACAACAAAAUUCAAUUUCAUUCUCUUUCAUUAAUAAAAAUGAGAUUUUUUUUUGAACAAAAAACUGUGUCAAUUUAAUUCACUGAAUUUCACAGAAUAAUUCUAUUCCAAUUCCGUGUAUUCGAAACAUCAUUAUAGUGAUCAUUAUCCAUUAUUAUUGAAUAAUAAAUCUGGCAGAUAGAAAUCCAUUUACACAUCCAUAUGAUCCAACUUAUACAUAACAAAUUCCACCAUUUCUUUGGCAUAUCAAUGACAAAAUACGAUUAGAUAACUGGAUGAAAAAAUGGAUUAUUCAUUUUGAAUAAUAUCAACCGUUUAGCAAUUCAACAAUCGGUCGCUUGUGUAGCCACCUGUCGACUUGGAAAAUAAUGAAAACAUAUUCACAUGGUUUCACUUUACAAUUCUUAAUUGAAUUUCAAAUUCGUUUUAGGAAUUUUCAUUUAUGAAUUUAAUUUGCCAAAACCUGUCCAUCGAUAAUCGCUAGAACAAAUGGUAAAAUUAUCAAUCGAAUACAUGAAAUUAAUGAUUUUAAAAUCCGAAAUAAUGGCGAAAAACGUUCCGAAUACGAUACGUUCUCUAUGAAGAGUUCACAUAAUGGUAAUACUUUCAAUAUUGCUUGCUCAUUGUUUACGCUACUCAUUUCUUAAACCGUUUAUUUAUAGCCAGUGAAAUUUUGAUUUGAUUCGAUUUUGUUGUAUUAAAUCAUUUUUAUCAAAUUGAAAUUGAAAUAUUUGUUAAUCUUUGGUGAAAAAAAAUGAAUGCACACCCUCUCAGUUUUUUUUUUGUUUUUGAGGCCGAGCCAGGCCCAAUUAAUUUGGUCAUCCCUCGUCACCUUAAUCGAUUCUUCGAUUUGUAUUUUGAAAUGACGAUUUUUUCUAACCCGCCCCCAUCCGGGUGGUGGGGUAUUCAAAUACCUGAAAACUAUUUUUAUUCUGUACCAUUUCGAGAUCGUCGAAUUCUUCAAAACAUUCGAUUUUAUGUACGACGUGGAAUGGCAUAUACUUUGGGUGGUGAAGAAUUGAACAAUUUUCUACGAUAUGUGACGAUCGCUGAGCAUCCAGCAGAUCUAGUGGUGAACACAGACCACGAACAUCCCAUUGCGACAUUUGUGGAAAUGACCGUUACCACACCCACCAGAAACUAUCCGAUUUUCAAUGGCUAUAACCUAAAUGUCGAACAUCCGAACAAUGUAACGGUUUCACAAAUAGAAUGCCGGUUCGUGAUCAGAUACACUCCAACAGAAAUAAAUUUUCAAGUAUUUGAUCCUGAUGAGGAACUUGAUCAUGGCGAUAAUAUAUAGUGAUAAUAAUAUUUUAAUAUCAUACUCGUCUUCGACGUUAUCGCAUUCGUGGAUGAGGAUGACGAUGAUAAAAUUUUUCAUUCACAAAUAAGAAAAUGUUUCACAUAAUUUCAUUUGAAUAUACGAACUCUGACAAUUUGAUUUGAAGUUUUGAAUUCAUAACAUUGUAUAUAAAUACGUUACUCAUUAUACUCAUAAUAAUACGAAAAACGGCAAACCAUUGACAUUUUCAACAAGUUUAAACAUUAUUGAUUACUUUCUAUAUUUUGAUAUAUAUAAAUA
This is a non-coding RNA of Dermatophagoides farinae (American house dust mite), 1972 nucleotides long. The record is from RefSeq and is a predicted model, not a curated record. Lineage: Eukaryota; Metazoa; Arthropoda; Arachnida; Sarcoptiformes; Pyroglyphidae.